Molecule: ribosomal RNA, 406 nt
Filed under: uncultured bacterium
Lineage: Bacteria
Description: partial 16S ribosomal RNA
Rfam family: Bacterial small subunit ribosomal RNA
Source: RNAcentral
GACGAACGCUGGCGGCAGGCCUAACACAUGCAAGUCUGGCGAGCGGCGGACGGGUGUGUAAUGUAUGGCGUUCUGCCUGAUGGAGGGGGUUAACUACUGGAAACGGUAGCUAAUACCGCUUACCAUCAGAUGACCCCAUAUGGGAUUAGCUUGUAGUUGAGGUAACGGCUCACCUAGGCGACGAUCCCUCGCUGGUCUGAGAGGAUGAUCAGCCACAUUGGGACGUAGACACGGCCCAGACCCCUACGGGAGGCAGCAGUGGGGAAUAUUGCACAAUGGGCGCAAGCCUGAUGAAGCCAUGCCGCGUGUAUGAAGAAGGCCUUCGGGUUGUAAAGUACUUUCAGUCGGGAGGCGUUACCGACAGAAGAAGCACCGGCUAACUCCGUGCCAGCAGCCGCGGUAAUUC